This 510-nucleotide ribosomal RNA is filed under the name Chrysolina grossa. Its description in RNAcentral is "partial 16S ribosomal RNA". The record is from RNAcentral. Lineage: Eukaryota; Metazoa; Arthropoda; Insecta; Coleoptera; Chrysomelidae.
GUCCUUUUGACUAUAAUUUAAGGUCUAGCCUGCCCACUGAAAUUUUAAAUGGCCGUGGUAUUUUGACCGUGCUAAGGUAGCAUAAUCAUUAGUUUUUUAAUUAAGAACUGGAAUGAAAGGUUGGAUAAGAAAAUAACUGUCUCUGUUAAAUUUAAUUAAAAUUUUAUUUUUAAGUUAAAAAGCUUAAGUGUAUUUAAAAGACGAGAAGACCCUAUAGAGUUUAAUUAUUUAAUGAAAAUUAUAUUUUAGUAUUUAUUUAUUUAUUUUAUUUAAUAAUUUAAUUGGGGUGAUUGAAAAAUUAAAUAAACUUUUUUUAUUUUAUAACAUUAAUUUAUGAAAAAAUGAUCCAAUAUUUUUGAUUAUAAGAUAAAAUUACCUUAGGGAUAACAGCGUAAUUUUUUUAUAGAGUUCAUAUUAAAAAAAAAGAUUGCGACCUCGAUGUUGGAUUAAAAUUAAUUUUUGGUGUAGAAGCUAAAAUAUUGGGUCUGUUCGCACCUUUGAAAUUUUACA